This 2941-nucleotide ribosomal RNA is filed under the name Olsenella sp. SW781. Its description in RNAcentral is "23S ribosomal RNA". It matches the Rfam family "Bacterial large subunit ribosomal RNA". Lineage: Bacteria; Bacillati; Actinomycetota; Coriobacteriia; Coriobacteriales; Atopobiaceae. The record is from RNAcentral.
GAGAAGAUGGUAAGGGCAAACGGUGGAUGCCUUGGCACAGGAAGCCGACGAAGGACGUGACAAGCUGCGAUAAGCCGCGGUUAGGGGCACUUGCCCGCUCGACCCGCGGAUCUCCGAAUGGGCGAACCCGACGGGAGUCAUUUCCCGUCACCGCCGGCCGAACACAUAGGCCGGUGGGAGGCAACCGGGGGAACUGAAACAUCUAAGUACCCCGAGGAAGAGAAAUCAAUCGAGAUUCCCCUAGUAGUGGCGAGCGAACGGGGACCUAGGACAAACCGGCGGCCGCGCAAGCGCCGCCGGGGUUGUAGGGCCAAGCACUGCGCAGUUACAAAACCUCGUGGAAGCGGAACGGCAUGGGAAGGCCGGCGGGACAGGGUUAGAGCCCCGUACGCGAAUCCGCGAGGACUGCCGCUUGGUUCCUGAGUACCGCCGGACACGUGAAACCCGGUGGGAAGCUGGGGGGUCCACCCUCCAAUCCUAAAUACUCUCCUGUGACCGAUAGUGGACCAGUACCGUGAGGGAAAGGUGAAAAGCACCCCGGGAGGGGAGUGAAAUAGUACCUGAAACCGUUUGCCUACAAGCAGUCGGAGCAGCGCUUGCGCUGUGACGGCGUGCCUUUUGUAGAAUGAGCCAGCGAGUUACGGCGCGUGGCGAGGUUAAGCCACGAAGCGAGCCGCAGCGAAAGCGAGUCCGAAACGGGCGAGCAGUCGCGCGCCGUAGACGCGAAGCCGGGUGAGCUAUCCAUGGGCAGGCUGAAGCGGGGGUAAGACCCCGUGGAGGGCCGAACCCACCUAGGUUGAAAACUGGGGGGAUGACCUGUGGAUAGGAGUGAAAGGCCUAUCAAACCCGGAGAUAUCUCGUUCUCCCCGAAAUAGCUUUAGGGCUAGCCUCGGACGUUUACCUGCGGGGGUAGAGCACUGAAUGGACGCGGGGGCCUCACCGCCUACCAACUCCAAUCAAACUCCGAAUACCGCCGGUCCAGAGUCCGGGAGUCAGAACAUGUGGGCUAAGCUGUGUGUUCGAAAGGGAAACAGCCCAGACCGCCCGCUAAGGUCCCGAAGUCCGUGCUAAGUGGCAAAGGAUGUGCGUUUGCCUAGACAACCAGGAUGUUGGCUUAGAAGCAGCCAUUCAUUUAAAGAGUGCGUAAUAGCUCACUGGUCGAGUGGACAUGCGCCGACAAUAUACGGGGCUAAGCACGGCACCGAAGCGGCGGACUAGAUUUCAUCUAGUGGUAGGGGAGCUUUCCGUCUGGGGCGAAGCCGCGGGACGACCCGCGGUGGACCGGCCGGAAGUGAGAAUGCUGGCAUGAGUAACGAGAGCGGCGUGGGAAACGCCGCCGCCGUAAACCCAAGGUUUCCUGGGCGAGGCUAAUCCUCCCAGGGUCAGUCGGGAGCUAAGGCGAGGCCGGAAGGCGUAGCCGAUGCACAGCAGGUCGACAUUCCUGCACCCCCGAACGGGCGCUAUCACCGAUGGGGCGACGGAGAAGGGUAGCUGGACGGGGUUCUGGACGUCCCCGCGAUGGCACGUAGGCUGAGGGGUAGUGAAACGCGCCCCUCGCGACGGCUGAGGUGCCGGACGAAGCGACUGAGCGAAGCCAGUGAGCCCAUGCUUCCAAGAAAACCCCCUAGGGAGCCCGCAGGGGCCCGUACCGCAAACCGACACAGGUGGGUGGGUAGAGCAUACCAAGGCGAUCGGGAGAACCAUGGUUAAGGAACUCGGCAAAAUUGCCCCGUAACUUCGGGAGAAGGGGUGCCGCCUCGGGUGGAGGGACUUGCUCCCCGAGCCCAGGGCGGCCACAGUAAAUAGGCCCAAGCGACUGUUUAUCAAAAACACAGGACUCUGCUGAAGUCGUAAGACGACGUAUAGGGUCUGACGCCUGCCCGGUGCCGGAAGGUCACGAGGAGCCGUCAGCGCGAGCGAAGCGGCGAAUCCAAGCCCCGGUAAACGGCGGCCGUAACUAUAACGGUCCUAAGGUAGCGAAAUUCCUUGUCGGGUAAGUUCCGACCUGCACGAAAGGCGUAACGAUUUGGGCGCUGUCUCAACCAUGGACCCGGUGAAAUUGCACUAGUCGUGAAGAUGCGACUUACCCGCGGAAGGACGGAAAGACCCCGUGAACCUUUACUGCAGCUUGACAUUGGCUGCCGGUUCGUCGUGUAGAGGAUAGGUGGGAGACGCUGAACCAGGGACGCCAGUCUCUGGGGAGUCGCCCUUGGAAUACCACCCUCGACGUUCUGGCAUCCUAACCCGCGACCGUCACCCGGCGUGGGGACCGUGUCAGGUGGGUAGUUUGACUGGGGCGGUCGCCUCCUAAAGAGUAACGGAGGCGCACGUAAGGUCUGCUCAGGACGGUCGGCAACCGUCCCUUUGAGUGCAAGAGCAUAAGCAGGCUUGACUGCGAGACGGACAGGUCGAGCAGAUGGGAAACCAGGUUCUAGUGAUCCGGCGGCUCAGCGUGGUAUGGCCGUCGCUCAACGGAUAAAAGGUACUCCGGGGAUAACAGGCUGAUCUUCCCCAAGAGUCCACAUCGACGGGAAGGUUUGGCACCUCGAUGUCGGCUCAUCGCAUCCUGGGGCUGGAGCAGGUCCCAAGGGUAUGGCUGUUCGCCAUUUAAAGCGGUACGCGAGCUGGGUUCAGAACGUCGUGAGACAGUUCGGUCCCUAUCCUCCGUGGGCGUAGGAGAACUGAGGGAGGCUGCCCCUAGUACGAGAGGACCGGGGUGGACGGACCUCCGGUGUACGGGUUGUCGACCAACGGCACUGCCCGGUAGCUGAGUCCGGUUCGGAUAACCGCUGAAAGCAUCUAAGCGGGAAGCCAGUCCCGAGAUGAGUUCUCCCUUCGGUAAGGCCACUCGUAGACUACGAGUUCGAUAGGCCGCAGAUGUAAGCCCCGCGAGGGGUUGAGUCGAGCGGUACUAAUCGGCCGAGCUCUUCUCUUCAUUCCA